Molecule: transfer RNA, 153 nt
Filed under: Candidatus Woesearchaeota archaeon
Lineage: Archaea; Nanobdellati; Candidatus Woesearchaeota
Description: tRNA-Ala
Source: RNAcentral
GGGCCCGUAGCUCAGUCUGGUUAAUCAUUUUUGAUUAAACUUUUUGCGAAAAAGUUUUUAGGACAAUAGAGCACUGCCCUUGCAAGGCAGGGGCCUCGGGUUCAAAAUAAUUUUUGUUAGACUCAAAAAUUAAUGAACAUCCCGACGGGUCCA